RNAcentral lists this ribosomal RNA (2928 nucleotides) under Enterobacter cloacae. Its description in RNAcentral is "bacterial LSU rRNA". It matches the Rfam family "Bacterial large subunit ribosomal RNA". The record is from RNAcentral. Lineage: Bacteria; Pseudomonadati; Pseudomonadota; Gammaproteobacteria; Enterobacterales; Enterobacteriaceae.
GGGUUGUGAGGUUAAGCGACUAAGCGUACACGGUGGAUGCCCUGGCAGUCAGAGGCGAUGAAGGACGUGCUAAUCUGCGAAAAGCGCCGGCGAGGUGAUAUGAACCUUUGACCCGGCGAUGUCCGAAUGGGGAAACCCAGUGCAAUUCGUUGCACUAUCGUUAACUGAAUACAUAGGUUAACGAGGCGAACCGGGGGAACUGAAACAUCUAAGUACCCCGAGGAAAAGAAAUCAACCGAGAUUCCCCAGUAGCGGCGAGCGAACGGGGAGCAGCCCAGAGUCUGAAUCAGCUUGUGUGUUAGUGGAAGCGUCUGGAAAGUCGCACGGUACAGGGUGACAGUCCCGUACACGAAAGCACACAGGCUGUGAACUCGAAGAGUAGGGCGGGACACGUGGUAUCCUGUCUGAAUAUGGGGGGACCAUCCUCCAAGGCUAAAUACUCCUGACUGACCGAUAGUGAACCAGUACCGUGAGGGAAAGGCGAAAAGAACCCCGGCGAGGGGAGUGAAAAAGAACCUGAAACCGUGUACGUACAAGCAGUGGGAGCACCUUCGUGGUGUGACUGCGUACCUUUUGUAUAAUGGGUCAGCGACUUAUAUUCUGUAGCAAGGUUAACCGUAUAGGGGAGCCGAAGGGAAACCGAGUCUUAACUGGGCGUUAAGUUGCAGGGUAUAGACCCGAAACCCGGUGAUCUAGCCAUGGGCAGGUUGAAGGUUGGGUAACACUAACUGGAGGACCGAACCGACUAAUGUUGAAAAAUUAGCGGAUGACUUGUGGCUGGGGGUGAAAGGCCAAUCAAACCGGGAGAUAGCUGGUUCUCCCCGAAAGCUAUUUAGGUAGCGCCUCGUGAAUUCAUCUUCGGGGUAGAGCACUGUUUCGGCUAGGGGGCCAUCCCGGCUUACCAACCCGAUGCAAACUACGAAUACCGAAGAAUGUUAUCACGGGAGACACACGGCGGGUGCUAACGUCCGUCGUGAAGAGGGAAACAACCCAGACCGCCAGCUAAGGUCCCAAAGUCAUGGUUAAGUGGGAAACGAUGUGGGAAGGCACAGACAGCCAGGAUGUUGGCUUAGAAGCAGCCAUCAUUUAAAGAAAGCGUAAUAGCUCACUGGUCGAGUCGGCCUGCGCGGAAGAUGUAACGGGGCUAAACCAUGCACCGAAGCUGCGGCAGCGACGCUUAUGCGUUGUUGGGUAGGGGAGCGUUCUGUAAGCCGUUGAAGGUGUGCUGUGAGGCAUGCUGGAGGUAUCAGAAGUGCGAAUGCUGACAUAAGUAACGAUAAAGCGGGUGAAAAGCCCGCUCGCCGGAAGACCAAGGGUUCCUGUCCAACGUUAAUCGGGGCAGGGUGAGUCGACCCCUAAGGCGAGGCCGAAAGGCGUAGUCGAUGGGAAACAGGUUAAUAUUCCUGUACUUGGUGUUACUGCGGAGGGGGGACGGAGAAGGCUAUGUUAGCCGGGCGACGGUUGUCCCGGUUUAAGCAUGUAGGCGGAGGUUCCAGGUAAAUCCGGUACCUUUUAACGCUGAGGUGUGAUGACGAGGCACUACGGUGCUGAAGUAACAAAUGCCCUGCUUCCAGGAAAAGCCUCUAAGCAUCAGGUAACACGAAAUCGUACCCCAAACCGACACAGGUGGUCAGGUAGAGAAUACCAAGGCGCUUGAGAGAACUCGGGUGAAGGAACUAGGCAAAAUGGUGCCGUAACUUCGGGAGAAGGCACGCUGAUAUGUAGGUGAAGCCCCUGCGGGUGGAGCUGAAAUCAGUCGAAGAUACCAGCUGGCUGCAACUGUUUAUUAAAAACACAGCACUGUGCAAACACGAAAGUGGACGUAUACGGUGUGACGCCUGCCCGGUGCCGGAAGGUUAAUUGAUGGGGUUAGCGGCAACGCGAAGCUCUUGAUCGAAGCCCCGGUAAACGGCGGCCGUAACUAUAACGGUCCUAAGGUAGCGAAAUUCCUUGUCGGGUAAGUUCCGACCUGCACGAAUGGCGUAAUGAUGGCCAGGCUGUCUCCACCCGAGACUCAGUGAAAUUGAACUCGCUGUGAAGAUGCAGUGUACCCGCGGCAAGACGGAAAGACCCCGUGAACCUUUACUAUAGCUUGACACUGAACACUGGUCCUUGAUGUGUAGGAUAGGUGGGAGGCUUUGAAGCGUGGACGCCAGUCUGCGUGGAGCCGUCCUUGAAAUACCACCCUUUAAUGGCUGGUGUUCUAACGUAGACCCGUAAUCCGGGUUGCGGACAGUGUCUGGUGGGUAGUUUGACUGGGGCGGUCUCCUCCCAAAGAGUAACGGAGGAGCACGAAGGUUAGCUAAUCCUGGUCGGACAUCAGGAGGUUAGUGCAAUGGCAUAAGCUAGCUUGACUGCGAGAGUGACGGCUCGAGCAGGUGCGAAAGCAGGUCAUAGUGAUCCGGUGGUUCUGAAUGGAAGGGCCAUCGCUCAACGGAUAAAAGGUACUCCGGGAUAACAGGCUGAUACCGCCCAAGAGUUCAUAUCGACGGCGGUGUUUGGCACCUCGAUGUCGGCUCAUCACAUCCUGGGGCUGAAGUAGGUCCCAAGGGUAUGGCUGUUCGCCAUUUAAAGUGGUACGCGAGCUGGGUUUAGAACGUCGUGAGACAGUUCGGUCCCUAUCUGCCGUGGGCGCUGGAGAAUUGAGGGGGGCUGCUCCUAGUACGAGAGGACCGGAGUGGACGCAUCACUGGUGUUCGGGUUGUCAUGCCAAUGGCACUGCCCGGUAGCUAAAUGCGGAAAAGAUAAGUGCUGAAAGCAUCUAAGCACGAAACUUGCCCCGAGAUGAGUUCUCCCUGACCCUUUAAGGGUCCUGAAGGAACGUUGAAGACGACGACGUUGAUAGGUCGGGUGUGUAAGCGCAGCGAUGCGUUGAGCUAACCGAUACUAAUGAACCGUGAGGCUUAACCUUACAACGCCGAAGCUGUU